AUUCCAGCUCCAAUAGCGUAUAUUAAAGUUGUUGUGGUUAAUUAGCUCGUUGUUGGUUUUCUUCUUUCUUCUUUCUUUUUUCUUUCUCUUCUUCCUGCCCUCUCGUCCGUAGUUUUGCCAGAGGUUUCGAGGUGCUCUUAAUCGAGUGUCCCGGGAUGCUGGCAGGUUUACUUUGAAAAAAUUAGAGUGCUCAAAGCAGGCUAUUACGCCUGAAUAUUCGUGCAUGGAAUAAUAGAAUAGGAAGUCGUUUCUAUUUUGUUGGUUUUCGGAAAUCGACUUAAUGAUUAAUAGGGACAGUCGGGGGCAUUUGUAUUCAAACGACAGAGGUGAAAUUCUUGGACCGUUUGAAGACAAACUACUGCGAAAGCAUUUGCCAAGAAUGUUUUCAUUA
RNAcentral lists this ribosomal RNA (391 nucleotides) under Calanus sp. Its description in RNAcentral is "partial small subunit ribosomal RNA". It matches the Rfam family "Eukaryotic small subunit ribosomal RNA", at positions 582 to 975 of the family's 1831-position model. Lineage: Eukaryota; Metazoa; Arthropoda; Copepoda; Calanoida; Calanidae. The record is from RNAcentral.